RNAcentral lists this ribosomal RNA (468 nucleotides) under uncultured bacterium. Its description in RNAcentral is "partial 16S ribosomal RNA". It matches the Rfam family "Bacterial small subunit ribosomal RNA", at positions 28 to 507 of the family's 1533-position model. The record is from RNAcentral.
GACGAACGCUGGCGGCGUGCUUAACACAUGCAAGUCGAACGGAAAGGCCCUGCUUUUGUGGGGUGCUCGAGUGGCGAACGGGUGAGUAACACGUGAGUAACCUGCCCUUGACUUUGGGAUAACUUCAGGAAACUGGGGCUAAUACCGGAUAGGAGCUCCUGCUGCAUGGUGGGGGUUGGAAAGUUUCGGCGGUUGGGGAUGGACUCGCGGCUUAUCAGCUUGUUGGUGGGGUAGUGGCUUACCAAGGCUUUGACGGGUAGCCGGCCUGAGAGGGUGACCGGCCACAAUGGGACUGCGAUACGGCCCAGACUGCUACGGGAGGCAGCAGUGGGGAAUAUUGCACAAUGGGAGGAAGCCUGAUGCAGCAACGCCGCGUGCGGGAUGACGGCCUUCGGGUUGUAAACCGCUUUCGCCUGUGACGAAGCGUGAGUGACGGUAAUGGGUAAAGAAGCACCGGCUAACUACGUG